This 110-nucleotide ribosomal RNA is filed under the name Myxococcota bacterium. RNAcentral describes it as "partial 16S ribosomal RNA". It matches the Rfam family "Bacterial small subunit ribosomal RNA", at positions 1 to 110 of the family's 1533-position model. The record is from RNAcentral. Lineage: Bacteria; Pseudomonadati; Myxococcota.
AAACUGGAGAGUUUGAUCCUGGCUCAGGACGAACGCUGGCGGCGUGCCUAACACAUGCAAGUCGAACGAGAAAGUCCCUUCGGGGGCGAGUACAGUGGCGCACGGGUGAG